UCCUCUAACUUAGUCCAGCCCUUGGUC
Molecule: non-coding RNA, 27 nt
Filed under: Homo sapiens (human)
Lineage: Eukaryota; Metazoa; Chordata; Mammalia; Primates; Hominidae
Source: RNAcentral